This 285-nucleotide unclassified non-coding RNA is filed under the name plant metagenome. RNAcentral describes it as "partial contains small subunit ribosomal RNA, internal transcribed spacer 1, and 5.8S ribosomal RNA". The stretch from base 1 to 54 matches the Rfam family "Eukaryotic small subunit ribosomal RNA", at positions 1778 to 1831 of the family's 1831-position model. The record is from RNAcentral.
GGAAGUAACAGUCGUAACAAGGUUUCCGUAGGUGAACCUGCGGAAGGAUCAUUAUUGUAUAACCGAGGUGCGAGGGCUGUCGCUGACCCGAAAGGUCGUGCACGCCCGAGUGCCCUCACACACAUCCAUCUCACCCCUAUGUGCACCACCGCGUGGGUCCCCCUUUGGCUUGUUCGGAGGGGGGCUUACGUUUUCACACAAACUUUGUAUGCAGUGUAGAAUGUAUUUUUUGUUUUUGCGAUCACGCAAUCAAUACAACUUUCAACAACGGAUCUCUUGGCUCUC